CGGCCGGAGACGGUCCGGCGAGUGGCGGAUCCACGGCGGCGGUCAAGGAGAUGCAGCUGAUCUUUGCAACUGCGGUUUUAUGAUUCAUAUUUUUGGGAACUGAAAGUUUCCUCAUGACCUCAAGGGUAUUGUUGCAGCAACCGCGAGCUCGCUAUGCACGACUCAGCUCAGUCAGCUGGGAAGCGAUGCCAGAAAUAGUCCAGGCCCCUUGCGUUGGUGGUGGAUGCCUGCAUAAAAGUUGCUCAUGAUGUGUGGAACCACAGCUCCGUCAAUCACUAGGAUUGGAUACAACAUGGUCAUUUAUGUGGUGGAGAGGGAGUCCUGGAGGUCAUCGUCAACCAGAGAUUGCUAAUGUUCUUUCCUGAGGCAAAUGAGGUUACUAUUGCAAGACAUACAACCUUUGUGCCAUUGUUUAUAUUUCAUUUUUUGCUUAAUCUUUGUCAUUUUUGGAUCUUGGUAAGGUUUGGAGCGUAUCAAACCUUUGCAUUUAUGGUAACCCUUUUAAUUACUAAAAAUAAUGGAGUUUUCCAUUCUGUGAGUUUCUAUUUUUAUUUCCCUGGAUGUCGAGUUAGUUUUGGUGAGGCCGGUUCAGGCCCGAUCCAUUGCCUCCUUCAUGCUCCAGACCAAGCUCUCCAUCAAGCCAAGUGGCGGGUGAAGCUGGAGCCAGAGCGCACGCCAAGUGACGGCGACAGCCGGACGCGGCAGCGGCGGUAGGCAGCGUGCGCCAAGUGACGGGGCGGGUGGAUGCCGCAGCAGCAGCUCCCCCUCCCCCUUCUCUUCAUCUCUCUAAUGGGAUUGUUGCUUGGUUGGAUAUAGAAACAAAUGAAGAUGUGGAAAGGAUUCUUGAGGGGAACAGUUCAUCACGGGCGCUGUUUCCGGGGGCAAAUUGCGGUGUUGGUGUUGCUUCACAGGUUUGGUUAGCUUUGCAGGAGCUGCGGCCAGAUGGACCGUGGACGCGCGUCCAGUGCACGAACAUGGCCCAGGAGUGGCACCGGUGUGCUUGGCGAUGAGCCGGUGAGUUUCCCUCUAUCUUUCUUCCUCUUUGCACCUGGUCUCUCUCAAACAAAUUUCUUGAAGCAUAUGUUUGUGAGGUAGUGAGGUGUGAACAGGUAGUGAGGUGUAAAUACGUUCUCAAAGUUUCCUGAAGCUUAUAUUUGUGCAUGAUCUGUGGCACCUAACAAAGGUAUUGGAGAACCGAGGGUAUUGAUUUGGAUCAACAUUUUGAUUGCAAGAUAUUUUUUGCAAGUGGCCAAUUGCGAUCACACUUAUUUGAAACCCAUACGUCGGUGAUGAAGGAGCUUACCACCAUCGAAUGUGUCAAUGCUAUAUGGGCCAUGCAUGCGACAAACCAGCAAUGCCCACGGAGGAUGGCAGCAUUGAGGGCCGCCCGUGGGGAGAAGACGAGGAAGAGGGUAAGGCAGUGGGGCUGACGGAAGUGAGUUCGCUCGAUGGAUUUGAUCCGAUGGUCGUGCGCCCGGAGGACGCAAUGCAUGCGAUCCCUCGGAUG
Molecule: non-coding RNA, 1507 nt
Organism: Lolium perenne
Lineage: Eukaryota; Viridiplantae; Streptophyta; Magnoliopsida; Poales; Poaceae
Source: RefSeq, a predicted model, not a curated record